GUUUUAUUGAUUAUAUUUUUAAAUNUGGCCUGCUCAAUGAAUAUUUAAAUAGCUGCAGUAUUUUGACUGUACAAAGGUAGCAUAAUCAUUAGUUUUUUAAUUGAAAGCUGGAAUGAAGGGUUUGAUGAAAUAUUAAUUGUCUCAUAAUUAAUAAAUUAUAAUUUUUUUUUUAGUUCAAAAACUAAAUUGUUUUUAAAAGACGAGAAGACCCUAUAGAGUUUUAUAAUUAAAGUAAUUAAAUUUAUUUUAUUUGUAUUUUUUUUAUUAAUUUAAUUAUUUAGUUGGGGUGAUUUUUAAAUUUAAAUAACUUUAAAUAAUUAAUAACAUUAAUAUAUGAUUAGAUGAUUUUAAAAAAAAUUUGAAUUAAAAGAUUAAAUUACCUUAGGGAUAACAGCGUAAUUUUUUUAGAUAGAUCAUAUUGAUAAAUAAAGUUUGC
RNAcentral lists this ribosomal RNA (436 nucleotides) under Banchus sp. BIOUG07534-C12. Its description in RNAcentral is "partial 16S ribosomal RNA". Lineage: Eukaryota; Metazoa; Arthropoda; Insecta; Hymenoptera; Ichneumonidae. The record is from RNAcentral.